Molecule: ribosomal RNA, 253 nt
Filed under: uncultured bacterium
Lineage: Bacteria
Description: partial 16S ribosomal RNA
Rfam family: Bacterial small subunit ribosomal RNA
Source: RNAcentral
GACGAACCGUCCAAACGUUAUUCGGAAUCACUGGGCUUAAAGCGUGCGUAGGCGGCCUGCAAAGUUGGGUGUGAAAUCCCUCGGCUUAACCGAGGAACUGCGCCCAAAACUAGUGGGCUUGAGGGAGAUAGAGGUGAGCGGAACUAAUGGUGGAGCGGUGAAAUGCGUUGAUAUCAUUAGGAACACCGGUGGCGAAAGCGGCUCACUGGGUCUCUUCUGACGCUGAGGCACGAAAGCUAGGGGAGCGAACGGG